Molecule: ribosomal RNA, 490 nt
Filed under: uncultured bacterium
Lineage: Bacteria
Description: partial 16S ribosomal RNA
Rfam family: Bacterial small subunit ribosomal RNA
Source: RNAcentral
AUUGAACGCUGGCGGCAGGCUUAACACAUGCAAGUCGAGCGGUAGCACAGGGGAGCUUGCUCCCUGGGUGACGAGCGGCGGACGGGUGAGUAAUGUCUGGGAAACUGCCUGAUGGAGGGGGAUAACUACUGGAAACGGUAGCUAAUACCGCAUAACGUCGCAAGACCAAAGAGGGGGACCUUCGGGCCUCUUGCCAUCAGAUGUGCCCAGAUGGGAUUAGCUAGUAGGUGGGGUAAUGGCUCACCUAGGCGACGAUCCCUAGCUGGUCUGAGAGGAUGACCAGCCACACUGGAACUGAGACACGGUCCUGACUCCUACGGGAGGCAGCAGUGGGGAAUAUUGCACAAUGGGCGCAAGCCUGAUGCAGCCAUGCCGCGUGUGUGAAGAAGGCCUUCGGGUUGUAAAGCACUUUCAGCGAGGAGGAAGGUGGUGAGCUUAAUACGUUCAUCAAUUGACGUUACUCGCAGAAGAAGCACCGGCUAACUCCGUG